Molecule: ribosomal RNA, 2171 nt
Filed under: Enterobacter asburiae
Lineage: Bacteria; Pseudomonadati; Pseudomonadota; Gammaproteobacteria; Enterobacterales; Enterobacteriaceae
Description: partial 23S ribosomal RNA
Rfam family: Bacterial large subunit ribosomal RNA
Source: RNAcentral
GGGUUGUGAGGUUAAGCGACUAAGCGUACACGGUGGAUGCCCUGGCAGUCAGAGGCGAUGAAGGACGUGCUAAUCUGCGAAAAGCGCCGGCGAGGUGAUAUGAACCUUUGACCCGGCGAUGUCCGAAUGGGGAAACCCAGUGUGAUUCGUCACACUAUCGUUAACUGAAUACAUAGGUUAACGAGGCGAACCGGGGGAACUGAAACAUCUAAGUACCCCGAGGAAAAGAAAUCAACCGAGAUUCCCCCAGUAGCGGCGAGCGAACGGGGAGCAGCCCAGAGUCUGAAUCAGCUUGUGUGUUAGUGGAACGGUCUGGAAAGUCCGGCGAUACAGGGUGACAGCCCCGUACACGAAAGCACACAGGCUGUGAACUCGAAGAGUAGGGCGGGACACGUGGUAUCCUGUCUGAAUAUGGGGGGACCAUCCUCCAAGGCUAAAUACUCCUGACUGACCGAUAGUGAACCAGUACCGUGAGGGAAAGGCGAAAAGAACCCCGGCGAGGGGAGUGAAAAAGAACCUGAAACCGUGUACGUACAAGCAGUGGGAGCACCUUCGUGGUGUGACUGCGUACCUUUUGUAUAAUGGGUCAGCGACUUAUAUUCUGUAGCAAGGUUAACCGUAUAGGGGAGCCGAAGGGAAACCGAGUCUUAACUGGGCGUUAAGUUGCAGGGUAUAGACCCGAAACCCGGUGAUCUAGCCAUGGGCAGGUUGAAGGUUGGGUAACACUAACUGGAGGACCGAACCGACUAAUGUUGAAAAAUUAGCGGAUGACUUGUGGCUGGGGGUGAAAGGCCAAUCAAACCGGGAGAUAGCUGGUUCUCCCCGAAAGCUAUUUAGGUAGCGCCUCGUGAACUCAUCUUCGGGGGUAGAGCACUGUUUCGGCUAGGGGGCCAUCCCGGCUUACCAACCCGAUGCAAACUACGAAUACCGAAGAAUGUUAUCACGGGAGACACACGGCGGGUGCUAACGUCCGUCGUGAAGAGGGAAACAACCCAGACCGCCAGCUAAGGUCCCAAAGUCAUGGUUAAGUGGGAAACGAUGUGGGAAGGCACAGACAGCCAGGAUGUUGGCUUAGAAGCAGCCAUCAUUUAAAGAAAGCGUAAUAGCUCACUGGUCGAGUCGGCCUGCGCGGAAGAUGUAACGGGGCUAAACCAUGCACCGAAGCUGCGGCAGCGACGCUUAUGCGUUGUUGGGUAGGGGAGCGUUCUGUAAGCCGUUGAAGGUGUGCUGUGAGGCAUGCUGGAGGUAUCAGAAGUGCGAAUGCUGACAUAAGUAACGAUAAAGCGGGUGAAAAGCCCGCUCGCCGGAAGACCAAGGGUUCCUGUCCAACGUUAAUCGGGGCAGGGUGAGUCGACCCCUAAGGCGAGGCCGAAAGGCGUAGUCGAUGGGAAACAGGUUAAUAUUCCUGUACUUGGUGUUACUGCGAAGGGGGGACGGAGAAGGCUAUGUUAGCCGGGCGACGGUUGUCCCGGUUUAAGCAUGUAGGCGGAGGUUCCAGGUAAAUCCGGUACCUUUUAACGCUGAGGUGUGAUGACGAGGCACUACGGUGCUGAAGUAACAAAUGCCCUGCUUCCAGGAAAAGCCUCUAAGCAUCAGGUAACACGAAAUCGUACCCCAAACCGACACAGGUGGUCAGGUAGAGAAUACCAAGGCGCUUGAGAGAACUCGGGUGAAGGAACUAGGCAAAAUGGUGCCGUAACUUCGGGAGAAGGCACGCUGAUAUGUAGGUGAAGCCCCUGCGGGUGGAGCUGAAAUCAGUCGAAGAUACCAGCUGGCUGCAACUGUUUAUUAAAAACACAGCACUGUGCAAACACGAAAGUGGACGUAUACGGUGUGACGCCUGCCCGGUGCCGGAAGGUUAAUUGAUGGGGUUAGCGGCAACGCGAAGCUCUUGAUCGAAGCCCCGGUAAACGGCGGCCGUAACUAUAACGGUCCUAAGGUAGCGAAAUUCCUUGUCGGGUAAGUUCCGACCUGCACGAAUGGCGUAAUGAUGGCCAGGCUGUCUCCACCCGAGACUCAGUGAAAUUGAACUCGCUGUGAAGAUGCAGUGUACCCGCGGCAAGACGGAAAGACCCCGUGAACCUUUACUAUAGCUUGACACUGAACACUGGUCCUUGAUGUGUAGGAUAGGUGGGAGGCUUUGAAGCGUGGACGCCAGUCUGCGUGGAGCC